Non-coding RNA from Gasterosteus aculeatus aculeatus (three-spined stickleback), 204 nucleotides. The record is from RefSeq and is a predicted model, not a curated record. NCBI's taxonomy places the organism in Eukaryota, Metazoa, Chordata, Actinopteri, Perciformes, Gasterosteidae.
AUCACUCGGUGGUAUCUGGCUCUACAGCCUUUUAACUUCAAGCAGUGAGCAGGAUCCAGGUCGGGAGAUCGUGAGCAGAGCAGAGCGGAGCACGAGAGCUGAGCUGAGCGGAGCCGGACAAAACGAAACCGACCAUGCCCAUAGAGCGACCUCAUUCCUGCUCACUGCCUUCCCCGUUUGGACAAUAAAGACUGGUUACCCUCA